RNAcentral lists this unclassified non-coding RNA (372 nucleotides) under uncultured fungus. RNAcentral describes it as "sequence contains ITS1". The record is from RNAcentral. Lineage: Eukaryota; Fungi.
GCAAUUCAGGUGAUCAUCGCUGGCGCUGCCUAAUGCGCGGGUCCGACCACGCUGGCUUGUGACACGGCCCUGAAAAAUCCCGCACGCAGCGAGUCUAACUACGGUAAAUUUAUCGCUGCCGUUUGAACAAUGAAGUCACAGCCGCGAUCGGACGGGACGAUGGGCUUGUUGAAAAUUCACCAGUACCGAGGAACCACUACUCGGCUAGUUCCUUGAAAACCGAUCAGUGCGAAUCAGUACGCAUUGAGUCCGUCAACGUUUGAUGAAACGAAUCGAUUGAAUUGGUUGAGCGAUUUGAAGCAACCUGAUUGGCUCUUGAGACACAGCCACGUAUCAGUAAUUUGCUGAAGGGCGAAAUCAACCGUUUCAUAA